RNAcentral lists this ribosomal RNA (761 nucleotides) under uncultured fungus. Its description in RNAcentral is "eukaryotic LSU rRNA". The stretch from base 285 to 438 matches the Rfam family "5.8S ribosomal RNA". The record is from RNAcentral. Lineage: Eukaryota; Fungi.
CUUGGUCUUUAGAGGAGUAAAAGUCGUAACAAGGUUUCCGUAGGUGAACCUGCGGAAGGAUCAUUAUCGUACAAAAUGUGAGAGGGGCAUGCGAGGGCUGUCGCUGACUCAAAGUCGUGCACGCCCGAGUGUGUCGCCUCACAUAAUAAUCCAUCUCACCCUUUGUGCAUCACCGCGUGGGCACCCCUUUGGGAUCAUCUCGGAGGGGGCUCGCGUUUUCACACAAAACCCCCCUUUUAAAAGUGUAGAAUGACCUCAUUUAUGCGCUAACCCGCAAUCAAUACAACUUUCAACAACGGAUCUCUUGGCUCUCGCAUCGAUGAAGAACGCAGCGAAAUGCGAUACGUAAUGUGAAUUGCAGAAUUCAGUGAAUCAUCGAAUCUUUGAACGCACCUUGCGCCCCCUGGUAUUCCGAGGGGCACACCCGUUUGAGUGUCGUGAAAACCUCAACCUCCUUGGUUUCUUCUGGAGACCAAAGCAGGCUUGGACUUUGGAGGCCUUUGCUGGCACCUCUCGCCAGCUCCUCUUAAAUGAAUUAGCAGGGUCCUCUUUGCUGAUCCUCGACGUGUGAUAAGAUGUUUCCAUGUCUUGGUUUCUGGCUCUGUCACCUUUGGGACCCGCUUCUAACCGUCUUCAACCUUGCGUUGAGACAACGUUCGAGCAUGUCUCCCUUCUCGGGAAGCUCCCUCGACCCCACGAACCCUUGACCUCAAAUCGGGUGAGACUACCCGCUGAACUUAAGCAUAUCAAUAAGCGGAGGA